GACGAACGCUGGCGGCGUGCUUAACACAUGCAAGUCGAGCGGUAAGGCCCUUUCGGGGGUACACGAGCGGCGAACGGGUGAGUAACACGUGGGUGACCUGCCCUCAGCUCUGGGAUAAGCCUGGGAAACUGGGUCUAAUACUGGAUAUGACUCCACGGUGCAUGUCGUGGGGUGGAAAGCCUUGUGCGGCUGAGGAUGGGCCCGCGGCCUAUCAGCUUGUUGGUGGGGUGANGGCCUACCAAGGCGACGACGGGUAGCUGGUCUGAGAGGAUGAUCAGCCACACUGGGACUGAGACACGGCCCAGACUCCUACGGGAGCAGCAGUGGGGAAUAUUGGACAAUGGGCGAAAGCCUGAUCCAGCAAUGCCGCGUGUGUGAAG
RNAcentral lists this ribosomal RNA (380 nucleotides) under uncultured bacterium. Its description in RNAcentral is "bacterial SSU rRNA". It matches the Rfam family "Bacterial small subunit ribosomal RNA", at positions 28 to 410 of the family's 1533-position model. The record is from RNAcentral.